Molecule: small nuclear RNA, 158 nt
Filed under: Cebus imitator (Panamanian white-faced capuchin)
Lineage: Eukaryota; Metazoa; Chordata; Mammalia; Primates; Cebidae
Description: U2 spliceosomal RNA (ENSCCAG00000014190.1)
Rfam family: U2 spliceosomal RNA (bases 18-158)
About the family: U2 is a small nuclear RNA (snRNA) component of the spliceosome (involved in pre-mRNA splicing). Complementary binding between U2 snRNA (in an area lying towards the 5' end but 3' to hairpin I) and the branchpoint sequence (BPS) of the intron results the bulging out of an unpaired adenosine, on the BPS, which initiates a nucleophilic attack at the intronic 5' splice site, thus starting the first of two transesterification reactions that mediate splicing.
Source: RNAcentral
AUACUGUCCUUGGAUAGAAGACAUAUCAGAUAUUAAACUGAUAGGUAGGGUAAUAUGUUAAAUUGAUUUUUGUAACAGGGAGAUGGAAUAGGAGUUUGCUCCAUCCACUCCACACAUCGACCUGGUAUUGCAGUACUGCCAGGAACGGGGCACCCCCU